GCCAGCGCGGCAUAGUGGUUUGUGUGUUGGACUAUGACUCUGGAAACCAGGGUUCAAUUCCCUGCUUAGCCA
Molecule: transfer RNA, 72 nt
Filed under: Phrynosoma platyrhinos (Desert horned lizard)
Lineage: Eukaryota; Metazoa; Chordata; Lepidosauria; Squamata; Phrynosomatidae
Description: tRNA-OTHER
Rfam family: tRNA
About the family: Transfer RNA (tRNA) molecules are approximately 80 nucleotides in length.
Source: RNAcentral